Molecule: ribosomal RNA, 880 nt
Filed under: Chromohalobacter canadensis
Lineage: Bacteria; Pseudomonadati; Pseudomonadota; Gammaproteobacteria; Oceanospirillales; Halomonadaceae
Description: bacterial SSU rRNA
Rfam family: Bacterial small subunit ribosomal RNA
Source: RNAcentral
UGCAGUCGAGCGGAACGAUCCUAGCUUGCUAGGAGGCGUCGAGCGGCGGACGGGUGAGUAACGCAUAGGAAUCUACCCAGUUGUGGGGGACAACCUGAGGAAACUCAGGCUAAUACCGCAUACGUCCUACGGGAGAAAGCGGGGGCUCUUCGGACCUCGCGCGAUUGGAUGAGCCUAUGUCGGAUUAGCUAGUUGGUGGGGUAAUGGCCCCCCAAGGCGACGAUCCGUAGCUGGUCUGAGAGGAUGAUCAGCCACACCGGGACUGAGACACGGCCCGGACUCCUACGGGAGGCAGCAGUGGGGAAUAUUGGACAAUGGGCGCAAGCCUGAUCCAGCCAUGCCGCGUGUGUGAAGAAGGCUUUCGAGUUGUAAAGCACUUUCAGCGGGGAAGAAAGCGUGCCGGCCAAUACCCGGUACGGACGACAUCACCCGCAGAAGAAGCACCGGCUAACUCCGUGCCAGCAGCCGCGGUAAUACGGAGGGUGCAAGCGUUAAUCGGAAUUACUGGGCGUAAAGGGCGCGUAGGCGGCGUGUCACGCCGGGUGUGAAAGCCCCGGGCUCAACCUGGGAAUGGCAUCCGGAACGGGCAGGCUAGAGUGCAGGAGAGGAAGGUAGAAUUCCCGGUGUAGCGGUGAAAUGCGUAGAGAUCGGGAGGAAUACCAGUGGCGAAGGCGGCCUUCUGGACUGACACUGACGCUGAGGUGCGAAAGCGUGGGUAGCAAACAGGAUUAGAUACCCUGGUAGUCCACGCCGUAAACGAUGUCGACUAGCCGUUGGGUCCCUUGAGGACUUAGUGGCGCAGUUAACGCGAUAAGUCGACCGCCUGGGGAGUACGGCCGCAAGGUUAAAACUCAAAUGAAUUGACGGGGGCCCGCACAAG